AUUGAACGCUGGCGGCAGGCCUAACACAUGCAAGUCGAACGAGUGGCGGACGGGUGAGUAAUGUCUGGGAAACUGCCCGAUGGAGGGGGAUAACUACUGGAAACGGUAGCUAAUACCGCAUACCAUCGGAUGUGCCCAGAUGGGAUUAGCUAGUAGGUGGGGGAACGGCUCAACUAGGCGACGAUCCCUAGCUGGUCUGAGAGGAUGACCAGCCAUACGGGAACUGAGACACGGUCCAGACUCCUACGGUAGGCAGCAGUGGGGAAUACUGCACAAUGGGCGCAAGCCUGAUGCAGCCAUGCCGGGUGUAUGAAGAAGGCCGUCGGGUUGUAAAGUACUUUCAGCGGGGAGGCGUUACCCGCAGAAGAAGCACCGGCUAACUCCGUGCCAGCAGCCGCGGUAAUAC
RNAcentral lists this ribosomal RNA (406 nucleotides) under uncultured bacterium. RNAcentral's name for it is "partial 16S ribosomal RNA". It matches the Rfam family "Bacterial small subunit ribosomal RNA", at positions 30 to 526 of the family's 1533-position model. The record is from RNAcentral.